GGCCGACAGAAGAUGGCGGAUGAGCAGCGUGCAGGGUUUUCUCCCUGUGGCUCACUCUCUCUUACUGUGCUGGGCGGUUGCUUCCUCUCCUGCUGCCCUUGGGAGUCAGACUCCAGGUUCUUCAGCCUGUGGCCCCUGGGGCUCUCGGGCCUUGGAGGACUGACUAGGAGCACACGGUGGGCCUCUCUGGUUUGGGGGCCUGGGACGUGGCGGAGCCCUGCAGCUUCUGUGCGGCCUGUUCUGGGCGUCGCGUUGAAACGCCAGCCAGUUCCCCAAUCCCCCUGGGAUUACAGGAGUGUUGAAGAAAUGUUGUGACACAUCAGAACACCGCGAAAUACAUGGACACUUUCAAAUCAUGGAAGACUCAAGCCCACCAGGUAUUUUUGAAAAAAGUACUCUGUGAAAAACAGAAACUGCAAGCAAGACAGAUACCAGGAUUAGGGAUCACGGUGACUUCUACCAUCGCUGGAUACUCCCAAAAGGGUUCUCGAGACAGCAGCUGUGUCUGCCCUGCUUUGGCAUUCUUUCCCAGGCAUGGCGACCGGUCAGGAGGGCAUCUUUCUCGGCUCUUCACUGUGAGAACCUUGUGGGAUUCCUGAAGAUGAAACCAUGAACGCGAGGGAGUCUUGCUAAAACUGCAGCAUUCGAGAGGUUUUCACUCAUGCUGGCUCACACUUGUCCUCUAGCAAUUCAUCAAAAUUACCACGUAAGUGUUUCAACAGUUUAUGGCUCAGGUGGCCUCAGCUGUGAUGCUCCAAAUUUGCCUGUUUCUCCAGAUGCAGGGUAGCAGUUUGCUGUUUCUCCUGAGUUCUUUGAUGGAUUCAAGAAAAGUCAUGAUUUUCAGUUUGUUCUGAUUUUUUCUUGUGAGGGCAAAGUAAUGACUAAGCUUUAAUGUGUUUCAGCUAAAACUACAUGUAUUUUAAUAGCAAAAUGAGAUAUAAUUCACAUGUCAUAAAAGUCACCAUUUUUGGGUGCACAACUCAUUGGAUUUUAGUAUAUUCCAGGGUUAUGCAAGAAUAAAUAUUCUCUAAUUUUGGAACAUAUUUAUCUACUCAGAAAGAAACUUUGUGCUCAUUAACAGUUACUUAAUAUUCUCUCUCCCCUAACCUAUGGUAACUACUAGUCGACUUGCUAUAGAUUAGGUUACUUUGGAUAUUUCAUAUAUGUUGAAUCAUAAAAUAUGUGCCUUGGCUUCUUUCACUUACCGUAAUAUUUACAAAAUUCAUUCAUCUUACAAAGUACUUCAUUCUAUUUUUGAUUUUAUGGGUUAAUAAUAUUCUACUGUCUGGCUAUAUACAUGUAUGAAUAAUGUGGCAACAUUUUGUCCAUACACUCAUCAUGUGAUUAGUAUUUGCUUUGUUGUUGUUGUGUGUUUUUUAUUUUUCAGUUAUUAUGAAUAAUGAUUAUGAAUUCAGUUAUUAUGAAUAACUACAAUAAAUAGUUAUGCAUAAGUUUUUGUGAGGCUA
Molecule: long non-coding RNA, 1466 nt
Filed under: Homo sapiens (human)
Lineage: Eukaryota; Metazoa; Chordata; Mammalia; Primates; Hominidae
Description: long intergenic non-protein coding RNA 1446
Source: RNAcentral